AGCGAACGUUAGCGGCGCGCCUAACACAUGCAAGUCGCACGAGAAAGGGAGCAAUCCCGGUACAGUGGCGCACGGGUGAGUAACACGUAGAUGACCUUCCCUGGAGUGGUGGAUAACCUGCCGAAAGGCGGGCUAAUACAGCAUGGGACCACAUGGUUUUGACCGAGUGGUGAAAGCGGGCCUCUGUUCACAAGCUCGCGCUCUGGGAUGGGUCUGCGUCCCAUCAGCUAGUUGGUGAGGUAAUGGCUCACCAAGGCAUCGACGGGUAGCUGGUCUGAGAGGAUGACCAGCCACACUGGAACUGAGACACGGUCCAGACUCCUACGGGAGGCAGCAGUGGGGAAUCUUGCGCAAUGGGCGAAAGCCUGACGCAGCGACGCCGCGUGGGUGAUGAAGGCCU
This 400-nucleotide ribosomal RNA is filed under the name uncultured bacterium. Its description in RNAcentral is "bacterial SSU rRNA". It matches the Rfam family "Bacterial small subunit ribosomal RNA", at positions 29 to 417 of the family's 1533-position model. The record is from RNAcentral.